GACGAAGGAUGCAAGCGUUAUCCGGAUUCAUUGGGUUUAAAGGGAGCGUAGGCGGCCUUGUAAGUCAGUGGUGAAAUCUCUCGGCUUAACUGAGAAACUGCCAUUGAUACUGCAGGGCUUGAAUAUAGUUGCCGUUGGCGGAAUAUGACAUGUAGUGGUGAAAUACAUAGAGAUGUCAUAGAACACCGAUUGCGAAGGCAGCUGACGAAACUAUAACUGACGCUGAGGCUCGAAAGUGUGGGGAUCAAACAGG
Molecule: ribosomal RNA, 253 nt
Filed under: uncultured bacterium
Lineage: Bacteria
Description: partial 16S ribosomal RNA
Rfam family: Bacterial small subunit ribosomal RNA
Source: RNAcentral